UAUUAUUUCCAUUUUAAGAUGGGGAAACUGCAGCACAAAGACUGAAUAUGAAUUGUCCCAAAUCACAUCACUGCCGAGAGGCAGAUCCAGGAUUCAAACCAGCCUGUCACUGAGAAGCUGUGGCUGGCUCUCCGUGUAUACUGACUGACUGCUUAUGCCUUGACAUUGCAGGGCCAAACAUCCUCUGGAACAGAAUGAUGAGAUUAUGUACUCCAUGACAGCGACUUUUGUGUCUUUAGCAGCUAUGAUAGUUCCUGGCACAAUAUCGAUGUUCAUUAAAUGUUUGCCAGAUGGACAAUUAAAUGGAUUUGCCAAAUGGACAAAUAAACUAUCUCUGAACACCCAAUUGGAACGCUUGAUCUGAUACAUUUUUGUAAUGAAGAAGUAACGUCUAAAAUGGGUUAGACAGAGGUUAUGGAUUUUGGGGAAGAAUACCACAGAGGUGAAGAGCCCUUCUUAUCACAUCCUAUCCGGGGUGCAUGCCAUUCCUGAAGAUGCUAACCUCGAUCACUUGGUUAAUAUGGCAUCUGCCAGGAUUCUCCACUGGAAGUGUCACCUCUGUUAGGUAGAGUCACUAAGUUCAACCUGUGAUAUUGUGGUUUAUAAGCAAUAUGUAUUUGGUCAUUCAGAUCGAAGAAAGAGUGAAGAUGGUGAAUAUAUAAAAUGGAGUCAUUUUAACCAAACUGUUAAAAUUAUUAACAAUAUGAAGUUCAGCUGUCGCAUGAAGAAAGACUCCAUUCUUUUUCUAACUAGCCUGGGAACUUAAACUUUUUUGAAUUUUCCAGUCCUGCAUCAAUGCCUGGAUAUACAUCUGGACCUCCAGGUAACCCUCUAUUUAACCCUCUAGUUAUCUAGUGUAUGUGAAGGACUCACAUAUACAUCCACAUGACAUCCAUUAUCCAGACAACCAGGAAGUUACCAGACAUCCUGCCACCUAUCUUCUGGACCACCUGGCAUCCAUCAUCCAGACUGCCUGACAUCUGACUGAUACCUGUCUUGGACUAAUGCUAGGACUAAGAAUGCAAGACUGAUAAUUUUCAAGAAUGUACUGUUUAUUAUAAGAACUUUUUUCUUUCAUCUUUGGAACACUCCUGGGUUUUUGUCUAGCUGUGUUCCCACUUUGCAAACUAUAAGACCCUUGAAUAAAUCUCUAUCAUGUAUUUCUAGCAAAGCCUCCAGACUUUUUUUGAGUUUGUCUGACAAGAUGAGCAAAAUAUAUUUC
This is a long non-coding RNA of Rhinolophus ferrumequinum (greater horseshoe bat), 1222 nucleotides long. RefSeq lists it as uncharacterized. Lineage: Eukaryota; Metazoa; Chordata; Mammalia; Chiroptera; Rhinolophidae. The transcript has 3 exons. The record is from RefSeq and is a predicted model, not a curated record.